ACGAGCCCCACUUAAUUAGAUAGGCUUCCAGAUAUCUACUUUCUUACCUUCAGUGUUGCUUUUCUUCACCAGCACGAAAACUUCAUUACAAGAGUUAAGAGUGUGUACAUCCACAUUAUCCAUAACAAAUGCUUCCGAAGUCGUAGAUUGGGCAAUUCAAACUACAUUAAAACCAGAUAAAAUGUUCCUGGAGCUUGAUGUGGCUGGCCUGGACAAGCUUGGGUCAAGAAUUUUUUUUUGGAGGGUUUUUAAGUAUGAAGCCUACACAUAGUACACAAUAACAAUACAGUAACAAAUUUAACACCAGCGUGUAGGUCAAAAAAAAUCGUUUUUUGAAACAGUAAGUGCCUGGUUUUAACUGAAAAAUAAUCCAGUUUUAUCGAAUUAUGUGGUGUAGAACUUAACUGCAGUUUCAACUUGAAAUCCAACACUUGAAAAUGUAAUUUAAAAUGUAAUUUGUUAUGAAAAUUAAAUUCCUUUUUUCUUCACCGAUGGAAAUUUUCUUUUACUAAUUUAACAUUAAAUUGUUAGAAAUUCCU
Molecule: non-coding RNA, 539 nt
Organism: Ciona intestinalis (vase tunicate)
Lineage: Eukaryota; Metazoa; Chordata; Ascidiacea; Phlebobranchia; Cionidae
Source: RefSeq, a predicted model, not a curated record